CCUACGGUGGGCAGCAGUGAGGAAUAUUGGGCAAUGGGGGCAACCCUGACCCAGCCAUGCCGCGUGAGUGAAGAAGGUCUUCGGAUUGUAAAGCUCUUUCGGACGUGACGAUGAUGACGGUAGCGUCUAAAGAAGCACCGGCAAACUUCGUGCCAGCAGCCGCGGUAAUACGAAGGGUGCGAGCGUUGUUCGGAAUUACUGGGCGUAAAGGGAGUGUAGGCGGAUAUGUAAGAUAGCGGUGAAAUGCCGGGGCUCAACCCCGGAACUGCCAUUAUGACUAUGUAUCUAGAGUAAUGGAGAGGAUAGCGGAAUACCCAGUGUAGAGGUGAAAUUCGUAGAUAUUGGGUAGAACACCGGUGGCGAAGGCAGCCUGCCGGGGUGCGACUGACGCUGAGGCUCGAAGGUGCGGGUAUCAAACAGGAUUAGAUACCCGAGUAGUC
RNAcentral lists this ribosomal RNA (440 nucleotides) under uncultured bacterium. RNAcentral's name for it is "partial 16S ribosomal RNA". It matches the Rfam family "Bacterial small subunit ribosomal RNA", at positions 338 to 795 of the family's 1533-position model. The record is from RNAcentral.